UCGGAAUUACUGGGCGUAAAGGGCGCGUAGGCGGAUAGUUUAGUCAGAGGGAAAAGCCCAGGGCUCAACCUUGGAACUGCCUUUGAUACUGGCUAUCUUGAGUUCGGGAGAGGUGAGUGGAAUGCCGAGUGUAGAGGUGAAAUUCGUAGAUAUUCGGCGGAACACCAGUGGCGAAGGCGACUCACUGGCCCGAUACUGACGCUGAGGCGCGAAAGCGUGGGGAGCAAACAGG
RNAcentral lists this ribosomal RNA (232 nucleotides) under uncultured bacterium. RNAcentral's name for it is "partial 16S ribosomal RNA". It matches the Rfam family "Bacterial small subunit ribosomal RNA", at positions 545 to 776 of the family's 1533-position model. The record is from RNAcentral.